Long non-coding RNA from Choloepus didactylus (southern two-toed sloth), 794 nucleotides. RefSeq lists it as uncharacterized. NCBI's taxonomy places the organism in Eukaryota, Metazoa, Chordata, Mammalia, Pilosa, Megalonychidae. The record is from RefSeq and is a predicted model, not a curated record. The transcript is spliced from 3 exons.
CGCCCGCCCGCCGCCGUGGCCCCGCGCCUCCCAGCUCUAUAGCCCGCGGCCCGCACCGAGGCUCGCGGAGCCCGGGUCAGGCUCCUGGGCCCGCUGCCUUAACCCCUUCGCGCCCGCGGACGCUACGUGCUAGGCGAGGCUGGGUCUCGGCACCUGCCGGCUGGGGGAGUGGGCGGCGACCCCGGCUACCAGCUGCCCCGCUGGCCUGGGACGCUGGGGAAGUCACAGGCUGGACGGCCGAGGCACCGCGCAGACCAGGAAACUGGGCUCUACCCCUGGAGGUUCGCCAAGUCCGCCCGUGGGCCGGGAGUGUGGCGCGGCAGGCUGAGAGGGGCGUGGUAGCCGCGAAUCCCGGCGCUCUGCCCGCAUCCCCACCUUGUGCAGACCCCAGGAGGAGGGUUGCCAGGCGGGCAGGGCACCAAGGGGACAGGGAAGGAGACUGCCUCUUUUCAGCAUGCAAAGUGAGAAGAUUGCAUUGUUCUCAGCUGCCUCAUGGAAGCUGUGGCAGAAGGGUAGAGCUGCAGGAAUUGAUUAGCACCAAUUAACAGCAAGAGGCUACCUUCUGCUCUCACCCUGUCGGCCUCCUGCUGUCUAGAAGCCUGGAGCUGCAUGGCAGAGGAAACGUCCAGACCUGGCAGACAGGAGGGGACUGUGGAACCAUCAUAUGAGGCUGGGUGCCCCAGUGGGGCCCAAGCAGUCAAAAAUUGCCAGAAAAGUAUCUUCACCAGAAAAAAAAUCUUACUUCAUUUAAUGAAAACUUCUGAAAUUUAUCUUCUGGAAAAAUCAGAGAAAAU